GAUGAAGAACGUAGCAAAAUGCGAUAAGUAAUGUGAAUUGCAGAAUUCAGUGAAUCAUCGAAUCUUUGAACGCACAUUGCGCCCGCCAGUAUUCUGGCGGGCAUGCCUGUUCGAGCGUCAUUUCAACCAUCAAGCCCCCGGCUUGUGUUGGGGACCUGCGGCUGCCGCAGGCCCUGAAAACCAGUGGCGGGCUCGCUAGUCACUCCGAGCGUAGUAAUACAUCUCGCUCAGGGCGUGCUGCGGGUUCCGGCCGUUAAAAAGCCUUAUUUACCCAAGGUUGACCUCGGAUCAGGUAGGAAGACCCGCUGAACUUAAGCAUAUCAAUAAGCGGAGGA
This 335-nucleotide unclassified non-coding RNA is filed under the name soil metagenome. RNAcentral describes it as "partial contains 5.8S ribosomal RNA, internal transcribed spacer 2, and large subunit ribosomal RNA". The stretch from base 1 to 120 matches the Rfam family "5.8S ribosomal RNA", at positions 35 to 154 of the family's 154-position model. The record is from RNAcentral.